AUGAGGUGUAAUGGCGCCGGGAUGCGCUCUCCUCUUCUCAUUUGCCAAUUUAUUGCAGAUCCCUCCUCAAAAAAGUUUUGGGACUAACUCAGCCCCAUGGAGAUCAAGGUGAAUUAGAAAAACAACAAAACAAAACAAGAUUCAUUUUAACAUCUCAUUUUUCUAUCUCCAACUUUCCCUCCCCUCCUCCCACCCCAGGAAGAAAAGACUACGUUUGUUUCUGGUGAUACAUUCAUUGUAGGUGGGUGGGUGACUUCUAGAAGAGGAAAAUCAAGAAGAUUUGGAGAAGGAGUCUUGGAAGCUCUGGUGAAGUUUUCCAAAACUGGGAAGGACAGAGCCACAGGUCUGCCUGUUCUUUUGCUUUGCCAUUUGUGUGGAUACCUAGUAGAGCAAUUUGGGUGCCAUUCUUUGAGGAAUCCAUUGGAUCUGUCAGAAAGCUGAGUCUGCUCAGCCUGUGUUAGUGGAGAAGAGGGAAGGAAACUGGCUGGAGGCCGCUGGACCCACAGAGGACAAUAGACAAUCUCCUGCUGAUGCCCACUGGAUCCAAAGAGAGAAACUCUAUAGAAUUAUGAUCUAGGUUUGACUGACUCCUGGCAAGAAGCCCUACCCGCCAGCCAAUUUGGAUGAGGAACACAGAAUCACUUGUGGAAUUAAGAGAUAAGGACAGCAAGUAGACCAAACUAUAAGCUGAGGUUCAAGGUGGCAUAGGCUGGGUGCCACAGUGCUGUGUCUCAGGUGGGCUAGAAGUGCGAAACGGACAGUACCAGAAGGAAAACUUGAGGGUCACAGGGGUCAUCCAUCUUUCCUUCUAUGUGACUGGUUUGCUCUUGCAUAUCAUGUUUUCCGCUCUUAUGCUCCAGAUCCAUCAUGAGAAGAACAUGCCCUGGAUUCCUGCUAUCCCUUUAGCCAUGGCUCCAAAAUUAACACACACAAGGAAGACCUGAGGUCAAUCCACAGCCUGGAUUCAAGUCACCUAAUACAUAGGAGAAUCAGAGCUACCCAGCCACACUCAAUCUACGUUAACUGAACCUCAGCUGACCUGCAGAUUUAUGAGUAUGAGAAUAAAGGCUUGUUAAUGUAUAUCAU
This 1086-nucleotide long non-coding RNA is filed under the name Homo sapiens (human). RNAcentral's name for it is "long intergenic non-protein coding RNA 1980". Lineage: Eukaryota; Metazoa; Chordata; Mammalia; Primates; Hominidae. The record is from RNAcentral.